GCAGACGUGGUGGAAUUGGUAGACACGCUAGAUUUAGGUUCUAGUGAGAGUUUCUCGUGAGAGUUCGAGUCUCUCCGUCUGCAUUA
This 86-nucleotide transfer RNA is filed under the name Hypnea brasiliensis. RNAcentral describes it as "tRNA-Leu". It matches the Rfam family "tRNA". Rfam says of the family: Transfer RNA (tRNA) molecules are approximately 80 nucleotides in length. Their secondary structure includes four short double-helical elements and three loops (D, anti-codon, and T loops). The record is from RNAcentral. Lineage: Eukaryota; Rhodophyta; Florideophyceae; Gigartinales; Hypneaceae.